Molecule: long non-coding RNA, 304 nt
Organism: Sinocyclocheilus grahami
Lineage: Eukaryota; Metazoa; Chordata; Actinopteri; Cypriniformes; Cyprinidae
Exons: 3
Source: RefSeq, a predicted model, not a curated record
CGGAUGCACUGUAAGUCUGUGAAUGGACUUGCUAACGCUGGCUCUCACUUCUGACGAACAAGGUGUGUGGACUUACGUUUGCUGGACAGAAGCUUCUCAAAAGACAGUUUCCACAGCAGACAUUCCUCCAAGGUCAACCUGCAAAGAUGGCUGCUGGUCAAAUGACAGGAGAAGCACAGUUCGUGACCAGAAAAGUCUUCUCCUGUGGAUAAUCUUGGUGGUUACUGAUCGUGUUUUUCUGUUAUCUUAACCUGUAACCUGCACUGAAGGCUUUCAUAUUGUAAACAAAUAAAUGCAAGCAAUA